Molecule: long non-coding RNA, 1013 nt
Filed under: Heterocephalus glaber (naked mole-rat)
Lineage: Eukaryota; Metazoa; Chordata; Mammalia; Rodentia; Bathyergidae
Description: lncRNA (ENSHGLG00000046250.1)
Source: RNAcentral
AUGGCCUCUCCCAAGGAGGCUCACAAUGGGCGCGGACAUAUUGCUCGCUAAGGAGCCUACGAAAUCCAAUCUCGUUGGCGUCCUUACGUCCUCGUCGGCCGCCUAGGUUUCCUGGAUUUAAACGCCAGAAACGGAGGCACUCCCAGAAUUCGCCUAGCCACCUGUAGAUCUUGUUGGCCUAACCGGAAGCAAGGAUCGAACUUGGGACCUUGCACUUGUGAAGCAGGCGGUGGAACCACUGAGCUAAAUCCCUGGCACCAGAUGAUUAGAUUCUUAAGAUGUGCUCUGUUUUCUGGACAUAGACACAGACACACACACACACACACACACACACACACACACGCACAAAUGAUACAGAAUUUAGGAAAGAACCAAGCUAUAAAAUCAGUGUACACAAAUCAAUAGCCUUUUCUGUGCAAUGGGCUGGAAACAACCGUGUAUCUCUUUAAAUAAAUCAUGUGUUGAAAUGCUCACCCCUGGUGUUACAGUAUUAGGAACAGGAGCCUUUGAGAGGAGAAGAGAGAGCUCUGAUGAAUAGGAUGAAUGCUCUUAUAAUGGGGCCCCAGGGAUCUGCCUUGCUGUCCUUCCUCUAUGUGAAUACACAAGUGGAAGUCUGACAGUCUGCAACCCUGAGGGUCCUAGCCUGUGUCCCGCUAUGCAGCCGUUCUAAUCUCAGACUUCUAGUCUACAGAACUGUGAAACAUUAAUUUCUGGUGUUCAUAGGCCCUGAAGUCUGGUAGUCUCUUGAUAUUUGAACAACAUAUACAUUGUUGUAAGAUUUUAUUCUUUUUUGUGUACCAGUUUCUCAGAUACAUGGUACUUUGUUCCACGGUAUAGGGUAGGAUGUUACAGUAAAAUAAACAGAAUGGCGGAGGUAUUUGUUGGUUGUUUACUAACUUUUAAAAACAUUCUUAUUUUGUUUGUAAAGGUGGUAUUAAGCUCACAUCGAGUGCUUAUAAUAAACUCAUUUUGCAUGUCUAUUUGGCAUGUAUUUAACUAGAUAAAACACUGGG